UUUUGCCGAUCAUUUUAUCCCUAGGUAAUCGAUCCUUACAGUUCCUUCCUUCCACCGUUCCUUAUCCAGACCUUCUGUUUUUUUCCUCUGCUUCCCGAUCCUUCCACUCUUCCACACACAAAUCAAACUCAUAGGAGUUCCGACUUGUCGAUUCCUCUAUUAUACCAUCGAAGAGUGCAGUCGAUCGGUCGCUGAGUUCGCUUCUAUCGCUCCGCCAUAGCCGACGCCUUUGCUUUUUGUUUCAGUUUUCGCCGUAUCCAUCUUCUCCAUUUUCUUUCUUCUCUUCGUUUGUGUGCUUGCAAGUAAAAUCUUCGGUUUGUGUUUAGUUUUGUUUGGUUCGUUCGGUUCCUGCUGUUUUUUUUUUGCCCCCUAAGGCGGUGACGAAAGGAGUUCACUCCAAUAUUCCAAUGACGGAAGAGUCGGCACAGGUGGAGAAGCAACACAAGAAAACGCUGACAGAGGCCAACGCCACCGCCGUCGUUUUUUUACCUCGAUCACUACCACCAUCAGCCGACUCAUCUGGACCUUAGAUUAGGGCUUGAUGAAGACCAUCGCUCCCACCGGACUCACUCAAACGAGAAUGGAGGAAGAUUCCUUUCUGACCACCGCCUCAUCUGGACCUGAUAUUAGGGCUUGAUGAAGACGAUUGCAGACAAGAAUCACUGUUGGGUUAGUUUGAUUCCUUUCUCACCAGUCUCACCAGUGGAGAAGAACCUGUCGACAGACCUCUGACUUUGAUGGAUGUAAGUUUCCAUGUUAAUUUCAUUUAUUUUUUAUUCUUAAUCUCUAUGCAUAUGGUUGCCCAAAGCAAACCUGGUAGAUGUUAUGCUACACAAAUAUGGUUUGCGAUGUGGUUUUGAUUAUAGUUUACAGAUUUGUGUACUGAUUUUGCUUUAGUUAUUUAGGGUCUUGAUUUUGAUUUUCAGUAUUGGUCUUAUUCUCUUAUUUUUGGGUUUUGACUGAUUUAAAAAAAGUGUGGGUUUUGAUGUUGCUUCAUGAAUCAUCUUCUCCAUCACAAGUUGGCAAUAGCCCUAUGAGUAGGUAAUGAUGAAAACAUAUUUCAAUUUUCAGGCCUAAAAAUCAUAAUAUUUGAUAGUUGUAUUGGAGUAAUGAUGAAAAAUUAUUGGUAGAGCUUAUUCAAACAUAAGCUUUUCAAUCAUGACAAGCCUAAUACCAAGUAUGUUUUUUUUUUUUUUUUUUUUUUCAGAAUCUGCAUUUGGUGGAUCCUAAAUACACUGGGCAGAUGUUAAAGAAAGUUUUCUUUAUUAUUUUUAAUCUUGUAUGACCUACAGUAUUGAAUUUUGUUAUUUAUUUGUAGACACUUGGAGAAACAGAACGAACUUCUCAUGGAUGCUUAUAGAUCAAUGUCACAUGCAUUACAUAAACUUCAGGUGAUGCAUUCUUAUGUUCAUCUUUAUUUUUAUAUUAAUAAAGAUUAAAAAGAUGUUUAGUUUUUAUAAUUGGAUUCCAUUCCAUCUUCUAUUACAAACGGCCGAUUGUUACUCCUUCGGAAGUCCUUUUAGAUUAUGAUUCUUAACAUAAAUUGUUGAAGGGUAAAAUUGGUAUUUUGAAGAAAAAAAACUUGGAAAAUAAAUUAUAGGAAUAUUAAUCAAUUGUAAUCUUUUUUUAACUUAUUUUGUUAACUUAUAAGUUACAUGUAUAAUAAAGUAGUUGAAUACUAGGCUUAGGAAUUGGGACGAGGCUUGAAAAUGGUUAACUCCAUGAUGGAACAUUCUAAGAGAUAAAGGCUUAAGCCGAAGAUUCAAAAUGGUACUAUUUUUAACUUUCUUUAUUUGUGUUUAUAUCUUUUUGUGAUUUGAUUAUAUAUUUAUUCUUACAAGAAUCAAAGUUACGGUUUUAAAAAUAGAAGUGAUAGUUUGUUAUUAUUUCAUGUCUUUUUUAGUUUAAUGGUAUUUUUAAAACAUUUUGCAUAGUUUUUAUUAUGUUGUAGCCACAAUAUUAUGUAAAAACUGAAAUUUAACGACUAAAAUUGUUAUAUUGAAGAGUAAUCUACAAUCCGAAGUUCAUGCGUCAAGAACAUCGUUUGGGUACGUUUCAACCCUAGAAUUUUCCAAUUUCAAGCUUUAUUCAUUUUAGUUUUCUGUUUCCUUUUUUUAUCCAUACAGCUGCGGGUUUACAAGGCUCCUGAGUUGGAAAUAUCUAAAAUUUUGUUGUAAGUUUUUUUUAUGUUUGAAUAGGUUUUUGGAAUGUUGACGUGGCAAUAUCAACAAGUCAUUAUAAAACAUCUUGCAUUGGAGAUGCUUUUGGUGUUGUUUGCUUGAAAUUUAUUGAUUGAAAUGCUUGAAAAUUUGACUAAUUUUAUUUCAAUUUUGUUCUUCAAACAUCCGUCUUCUUCAGUAAUCAUUUCUGCACUUAGAAGUGUUGGGAAUAUUGUUACAAGCGAUGAUCACCAAACUCAGGUACAAAUUCUACAUACUUUCCCCAUUAAGUCCUAACUCUUUACAAAUUUUCCCUCGAUUUUUUUUCCACUUCCCCCAAAUGUGAUGCCAUUUUCACAAAUAUCUUUUUAAAAUCGUUUAUCCAGACAACCCUUAUGGGAAAGAAAGAAAGAAACAGGUCUCUGUUGGACCUCCUUUGAGAUUCAUGUAUUCUAGAAUGUCAAAGUAGGAAAAGUCAAAGUCAAGCAGAAUUUGGGUUUAAUAAGUGGUUUUGAGGGAGUCUAUUUUGUUAGAUGAAAUUAGUCAGAAAAGGUUGUUAAGAGAGUGUAUUAAUCAGUGAAAGAAAACAAUGAGAAGUAAUUUGUCUAAAAUUAUAAAUAACCCUUUUCUUUUUCUUAUCUCUAAAAUUUAUAGUUAUUGAUUUGUGAUGUUCAUUUUCAUAUUUUUCGGCAUUAACUUAUUUAAAAAAAAUCGUAUGUUGAAUGUUUACAACAUUUUUUUUAGCAUUAGGUUGGUUUCUACAAUAAUGCGAUCAAUAAAAGUAAAUUGUUAUUUAUUGCAUUUAAGUUGUCGAUGCAAUCCUUCUUAUUGAUAAGAACGAGCGGACGCCAAAAGUGAUUGUAUUUGUUUAUCCCAAUCCCCGCAACGCAGGGCUCCUCGUCUAGUUUAAAAGAUAUAUUAGAAAGGUAUUUAAAAAUAUACACAAGUAUAUGCAAUGUACUUUCAAUUUUUAAUGAGGAAAUCGUCACCCAUUUUCACGAUUCUUAUGUUAUUAGACUCUGACAUGUACAAAAAAUCUUUAUGAAUAUGCCUACUUAUUGUUGUCCGAUCAAGGUGAUUCCAGAAAUACAUACGAAAUUCAAUCCCGA
This 3268-nucleotide long non-coding RNA is filed under the name Lactuca sativa (garden lettuce). RNAcentral's name for it is "long non-coding RNA (LSAT_LNC001507)". The record is from RNAcentral. Lineage: Eukaryota; Viridiplantae; Streptophyta; Magnoliopsida; Asterales; Asteraceae.